Molecule: ribosomal RNA, 462 nt
Filed under: uncultured bacterium
Lineage: Bacteria
Description: partial 16S ribosomal RNA
Rfam family: Bacterial small subunit ribosomal RNA
Source: RNAcentral
GACGAACGCUGGCGGCGUGCUUAACACAUGCAAGUCGAGCGGUAAGGCCCUUCGGGGUCCACGAGCGGCGAACGGGUGAGUAACACGUGAGUAAUCUGCCCAUCACUUCGGGAUAACUCCGGGAAACCGGUGCUAAUACCGAAUAUGACCACUUCAGGCAUCUGAUGGUGGUGGAAAGUUCCGGCGGUGAUGGAUGAGCUCGCGGCCUAUCAGCUUGUUGGUGGGGUAGUGGCCUACCAAGGCUUCGACGGGUAGCCGGCCUGAGAGGGUGACCGGCCACACUGGGACUGAGACACGGCCAGACUCCUACGGGAGGCAGCAGUGGGGAAUAUUGGACAAUGGGCGAAAGCCUGAUCCAGCAACGCCGCGUGAGGGAUGACGGCCUUCGGGUUGUAAACCUCUUUCAGCAGGGACGAAGCGCAAGUGACGGUACCUGCAGAAGAAGCACCGGCCAACUACGUG